CAAUAGCGUAUAUUAAAGUUGUUGCGGUUAAAAAGCUCGUAGUUGGAUUUCUGCCGAGGACGACCGGUCCGCCCUCCGGGUGAGUAUCUGGCUCGGCCUGGGCAUCUUCUUGGAGAACGUAGCUGCACUUGGCUGUGUGGUGCGGUAUUCAGGACUUUUACUUUGAGGAAAUUAGAGUGUUUCAAGCAGGCACACGCCUUGAAUACAUUAGCAUGGAAUAAUAAGAUAGGACCUCGGUUCUAUUUUGUUGGUUUCUAGAUCUGAGGUAAUGAUUAAUAGGGAUAGUUGGGGGCAUUCGUAUUUAACUGUCAGAGGUGAAAUUCUUGGACUUGUUAAAGACGGACUACUGCGAAAGCAUUUGCCAAGGAUGUUUUCAUUGA
RNAcentral lists this ribosomal RNA (380 nucleotides) under uncultured eukaryote. RNAcentral's name for it is "partial 18S ribosomal RNA". It matches the Rfam family "Eukaryotic small subunit ribosomal RNA", at positions 592 to 976 of the family's 1831-position model. The record is from RNAcentral.